This is a long non-coding RNA of Thunnus maccoyii (southern bluefin tuna), 436 nucleotides long. RefSeq lists it as uncharacterized. The transcript is spliced from 4 exons. Lineage: Eukaryota; Metazoa; Chordata; Actinopteri; Scombriformes; Scombridae. The record is from RefSeq and is a predicted model, not a curated record.
GAGCACCUUAACCAUUAAGAGGCUCAUGAAGCACAGGUGUGUCAGCUUCAUUCCUGCUCCUGUGAUCACUCCUCUGCACAUGCUACCUUGGGUUGUAACAGUGCAGGACUAGUGGCAGUGGCAAGUAGACUGAGUAUCGUGCUACUUUACAGUUUUACCUUUUUUAAUGCUGCGGCUGGUGUUGGCCUCCAGUCAUGGGAGCACCUGGUGCAGUGAGAGUUCACCUGUUGAUUUGAGCCAUUUCACUUUCUACACAUCACUCCUCUUGGCUGCUACUCUCACCACUCUCCUAGCCCUGCCGAUUGGUUCUACCUUCUGCUUCCUCCACAGGAGAUUGACUUUACCCAGAGAAAAGCAUUUAUGUGUUUUUUUAAAUGAACAUUUACAUCUCAAAUACCAAACGUCUCUCAAAACUGAGAGAAAUAAAACAGUGAAA